AACUGCGUUAUGAAACAUUCUGUAGACCAAUAAAAGCCAAAAAUUUGCGGUGCCGGUCAUCAAAUAAUUUUAAUCAGCGGAGGAGAAAUAAUCAAACAAAUUAAUUAGUAUGAGUGACUUUGCCAGUUUUGCAGAUCGGAUGGGUGCGGAUCACAACUCUUACAAUUCGACCACGGGACAAAAUAAUGGUCAAUCGAGUCUUAGCCGAUCGACGCCACAAAGUUACAGAACUGAUAACACGGAACAAGCUCAACGUGAAGAAAGGGAACGAAUGAAACGAAAUGCGACCGAAAAUUUGUCUCGUCCUCCUGGACCGUUUUGGCGAUAUUGGAUGUCGGGUUGAGAUCAAGUGCUAUAAACACCUUGUGAUUAUGCGAAUAGACUUAUUAAUGUAAUGAGACUUAUUAAUGUAAUGAUGUUUGUAAUCAAUGAUGACAUGUUGAUCAGGGCUGCAGGCCAUAUAUCAAUAAAUAAAUACUAUACUAAUACUAUUAUGCGAAUAGAGUUUAUAUUUAUAGAUACGUAUUUAUGUUUAUAUAAACCUGCCAUGGUGUUCAACAUAUGUAAUACAUUUGAAGUAUUAAAAAUAAUAAGUCAAUUUUGUGUCGUGAUA
This is a long non-coding RNA of Folsomia candida, 613 nucleotides long. RefSeq lists it as uncharacterized. The record is from RefSeq and is a predicted model, not a curated record. The transcript is spliced from 2 exons. Lineage: Eukaryota; Metazoa; Arthropoda; Collembola; Entomobryomorpha; Isotomidae.